AUCUGGCUGAGGAGUCCCAAAUAGGAUGAAACGUGUGUCCUAAAU
Schistosoma mattheei is the source of this 45-nucleotide non-coding RNA. NCBI's taxonomy places the organism in Eukaryota, Metazoa, Platyhelminthes, Trematoda, Strigeidida, Schistosomatidae. The record is from Rfam.